Molecule: long non-coding RNA, 843 nt
Organism: Cuculus canorus (common cuckoo)
Lineage: Eukaryota; Metazoa; Chordata; Aves; Cuculiformes; Cuculidae
Exons: 3
Source: RefSeq, a predicted model, not a curated record
GGGGUAUCUCUGCACGGUGGCUCUGACGGAGUUGCCGUAAUACGGAGGGACGGGGUUGCCUUGUCCGUCGAUAUUAAAAAGUACAUCCACUUCCUCGGCAAGAGGAUACUGCGUGGGGUCCAUAUGUUUCUCUUCUUUGAUCACCUGUAACGAGAAAGUGGAAAGGGAAGGAGCAGAGAGAGGGAGAGAAGCAGAGAGAGAGGAACGUUCUUGAGAAGUUCUGAACUUUAGCACCUGACUUUUUAGGCAGGAGAAAACCCAUCCCAUCCCGCGGCAGCCAUCCCUGGGAAGUGCCUGCUCUGCCCUGGACCCACCUCUCCCCAGCGCCUCUUUCUCUUUCGCUCUCUCCUCUCCGGCUGGGAGCGGAGCCGAGCAGCUCUAACCGCGCUCCUGCCGUCUCAGCUCGUACUCUUGCUCUUUUCUUUUUGGCUUUUCUUUUUUUUCCUUUUUUUUUUUUUCCUCCGCGGUUGUUUGUUUAUUUGUUUGUUUGCUCAAUUUGCACCUGAGAAGAUCCAGUGGCUUAAGCCGGUGAGAACUUGUGCCAUUCGCUUGCUCUGCAGCCUAAAGCCACUUUGAUUGCUCAUUAAUUAUUAUGCAACAGAGAAAGGGGGGAAGGCAUUCUUUCUGAAAGGAGCAGGAUGGCGCCAGCCGGCUCAGUGCUUACAGACAGCUGUGGCGAGACGCAACUUAAGGAGGUUCCAGUGUCAUAAGCCCGGGGAGGCGGAGCCUGUCCCCGCCUGAGGAGGGGACCGCACCGGCCGCCCCCGCGCUGCUGCCGACCGAACUCCCUUUUAACAACUUCUUUUUAACUUUUUUCCCCCCUAGUUGUUUGGGGGUUUGUUU